Molecule: ribosomal RNA, 324 nt
Filed under: uncultured eukaryote
Lineage: Eukaryota
Description: partial 18S ribosomal RNA
Rfam family: Eukaryotic small subunit ribosomal RNA
Source: RNAcentral
CCCUUAGAUGUCCGGGGCCGCACGCGCGCUACAAUGGAUGAAUCAACGCGUCGUCCUGGCCCGAAAGGGUUGGGGAACCGCUGAACCUCAUCCGUGGUUGGGAUUGGGGUUUGUAAUUAUUCCCCAUGAACUAGGAAUUCCCAGUAAACGCAAGUCAUCAGCUUGCAUUGAUUACGUCCCUGCCCUUUGUACACACCGCCCGUCGCUCCUACCGAUUGGAUGGUCCGGUGAAGCCUCGGGAUUGUGGUUCUUGCCGCUUUAUUGUGGCGUGACCGCGAGAACUUGUCUAAACCUUAUCAUCUAGAGGAAGGUGAAGUCGUAACA